This 923-nucleotide long non-coding RNA is filed under the name Homo sapiens (human). RNAcentral describes it as "HSALNT0267889". The record is from RNAcentral. Lineage: Eukaryota; Metazoa; Chordata; Mammalia; Primates; Hominidae.
GGGAGGUGCAAGAAGAUGCCCUGGCUGUAAAAAGGUGAUUGGGCUUGCGACUCUUGUGAAAUGGUCUGAAACUAUCUUUAGCUUAGAUGGGAGUGCCAGGCUUGCAGGGCCCAGGUUUGGCAGAUGAGCCAGGCCAGAAGCCAGUGCCCUGAGGGCUUCCUGACUGCCACCCACACUCUCCGCCCGGCUGCCACUUCUCGGAGCAGCUGGUACCAUCAGCUCCCAGGGAGAAUCCUGAAAUCACACAGGGGGAUACACUGAGGUCCAGAGAGGGGAAAGAGUUCAUCCAGGAUCCCAGCUGGAUCAAAGGUCUCCUGAUGUCUGCUGGAGGAACAAGAGAGAGGAAAUCCCUGGCCUUUUGUUUCACCAACUGUAAAAUGAGAGGGCUUCACCGAUCUAUGGUUUCCAGCUGGGAUCUGGGCUCUCGGGGGCCACUGUUGGAGUCAACACCAAGCCCGCGGAGCUCCGGGACCACCUUUUCUGGUUCUCAGUCCACGUCUCUUUCACUCGUGAAGGGCUGCGGAAGGCUCCACGUGAACAAACUUCCUGCCGCUCAGCCUUGAAUGUGUGAAAGCCCCCUACUUGUUUAUUUUCAGGGCUCCUGGCAGCGCAGACUCUCUGGGACAGGGAUUCCUCCCAAGACCCCUGCCCAGGUAGACCCCCUAUGUCCUGGCCUGGGUCAGGGUUGGCUCAGCUGCCUGGAGUGGGUGAGCAGACCAGAAGCAUGACCCUGCCCCACCCCCAGCCAGCUGCAGCCCGGGCCUGGGAUGCUGGUUCCGCCAGCAGUUAAAGUCCCCCUGGUUGUCUAAUUUAAUCACAGCUGUGUGCACGGUGACUCUAUAAAUAAUUUUUAGUGCGACAUAACCAUUAUUUCACUAAUUGCUUCACGCGCACCCCUGGCCUGUGAGAUAAAUUAAGGUUUG